AAAUACCAAAGUUAUGUUAGUGUAGUUUUCUCAGUGGCCAAAUGGUUGCAACUAGGCAUUAUCACACCACAAGAUAAGUGUGUAACCGUUUUGAUUUUAUAGCCCUUUCAAGACUCUUUCUCACAUCGGGGCGUUCAAGAGCAUCCAUCACUGGGCAAAACUUUUCCUCCCACCACUCAAACUGCUUCCGCUGUGAAUGUUUGGCUGCAGCUUUUCUGAGGAGCCAAAAUCCCUCGCUGCCCCUUGUUUUUCCUCUGCAGUCAUGCUCGAGUGUCCCCCUCCCACUCGAACACCCAACAUGCCAAGCGUCCGUCUUGGCUCUGACAGGAGUGAGGCGCCAGGCGUCCAGGAAAGCGACAGUGCAGUCUCAUCAUACUGACUGGAAUUGAGGUUGGCCAACUCCCGACUCCCAUUAGCUCUUGGAGAUGUCAUUAGCCUGGGCGUUCACAUACUCUUUCCACUCUGCACUGUGAAAGUGUACAAGGUCACAUGGCGGGAGAGAGAGAAGGAACAAGUUUGUGUCGUGUCAGCAUUCUGGGCACAAAGCGACCACUUCCUGUUGUUUUAGCUAAGGUGACACAAGGAUUUGAAGGUGGAGGAACAAUUCCAAAAGCUGUGUUUGUGUAACUUCAUCACACACACACACGCACAAUACAGUUCAAGGAAUUAAAUGGCUAAGUUGCAUCUGGCAAAUUCCAACAAGCGCACAAUUAACUUGCAGGGUCACCCUCCUCAGAAAGGAGACUCCCCUUCCCCCUGACAUAAAGAAGGGGAGGCGGGGGCAACGGGAACACUGGGCUUCAGUGUGACAGUGAGAUGGCACGAGGGAGAAGAGGAGGAAAGACGAAGCCACCAAAUGCAGCGGCAGCUUCUACAUUCACAACAUAAAUGUGGAGUUGUCUCAACACCCGCAUCCCCCACGGGGACGACGUCCCUGAUCCGCGGGGUCCUGAUGUAUCAGCUUGAACCUUCAACUGUCAAAUGAACAGCGAUGAAUCCAUGGUAUUCGGCUUUUGAAUAGACAUUAUUUGCCUCUUGUGCUGAGCACCAACAGUGUGACUGAAUUAGCCUUUCUAAUCUGACACAAAUAUGUACUGAUGAACUCACCAAACACUUGGAUUUGUUAAAUAAACAAUCUGCUUGCCAGUGUUAUGCAACACUCACUUACAAAGUAACUGUGUGUUUGUGUGUGCGUGCAUGUGUUUGCGUGUGGG
Molecule: long non-coding RNA, 1214 nt
Organism: Hippocampus comes (tiger tail seahorse)
Lineage: Eukaryota; Metazoa; Chordata; Actinopteri; Syngnathiformes; Syngnathidae
Exons: 4
Source: RefSeq, a predicted model, not a curated record